Molecule: ribosomal RNA, 2900 nt
Filed under: Klebsiella pneumoniae UCICRE 7
Lineage: Bacteria; Pseudomonadati; Pseudomonadota; Gammaproteobacteria; Enterobacterales; Enterobacteriaceae
Description: bacterial LSU rRNA
Rfam family: Bacterial large subunit ribosomal RNA
Source: RNAcentral
UUAAGCGACUAAGCGUACACGGUGGAUGCCCUGGCAGUCAGAGGCGAUGAAGGACGUGCUAAUCUGCGAAAAGCGUCGGUAAGGUGAUAUGAACCGUUAUAACCGGCGAUGUCCGAAUGGGGAAACCCAGUGUGAUUCGUCACACUAUCGUUAACUGAAUACAUAGGUUAACGAGGCGAACCGGGGGAACUGAAACAUCUAAGUACCCCGAGGAAAAGAAAUCAACCGAGAUUCCCCCAGUAGCGGCGAGCGAACGGGGAGCAGCCCAGAGUCUGAAUCAGCUUGUGUGUUAGUGGAACGGUCUGGAAAGUCCGACGGUACAGGGUGAUAGUCCCGUACACCAAAAUGCACAGGCUGUGAACUCGAAGAGUAGGGCGGGACACGUGGUAUCCUGUCUGAAUAUGGGGGGACCAUCCUCCAAGGCUAAAUACUCCUGACUGACCGAUAGUGAACCAGUACCGUGAGGGAAAGGCGAAAAGAACCCCGGCGAGGGGAGUGAAAAAGAACCUGAAACCGUGUACGUACAAGCAGUGGGAGCACCUUCGGGUGUGACUGCGUACCUUUUGUAUAAUGGGUCAGCGACUUAUAUUCUGUAGCAAGGUUAACCGUAUAGGGGAGCCGCAGGGAAACCGAGUCUUAACUGGGCGUUAAGUUGCAGGGUAUAGACCCGAAACCCGGUGAUCUAGCCAUGGGCAGGUUGAAGGUUGGGUAACACUAACUGGAGGACCGAACCGACUAAUGUUGAAAAAUUAGCGGAUGACUUGUGGCUGGGGGUGAAAGGCCAAUCAAACCGGGAGAUAGCUGGUUCUCCCCGAAAGCUAUUUAGGUAGCGCCUCGUGAACUCAUCUUCGGGGGUAGAGCACUGUUUCGGCUAGGGGGUCAUCCCGACUUACCAACCCGAUGCAAACUACGAAUACCGAAGAAUGUUAUCACGGGAGACACACGGCGGGUGCUAACGUCCGUCGUGAAGAGGGAAACAACCCAGACCGCCAGCUAAGGUCCCAAAGUCAUGGUUAAGUGGGAAACGAUGUGGGAAGGCACAGACAGCCAGGAUGUUGGCUUAGAAGCAGCCAUCAUUUAAAGAAAGCGUAAUAGCUCACUGGUCGAGUCGGCCUGCGCGGAAGAUGUAACGGGGCUAAACCAUGCACCGAAGCUGCGGCAGCGACACUAUGUGUUGUUGGGUAGGGGAGCGUUCUGUAAGCCUGCGAAGGUGUGCUGUGAGGCAUGCUGGAGGUAUCAGAAGUGCGAAUGCUGACAUAAGUAACGAUAAAGCGGGUGAAAAGCCCGCUCGCCGGAAGACCAAGGGUUCCUGUCCAACGUUAAUCGGGGCAGGGUGAGUCGACCCCUAAGGCGAGGCCGAAAGGCGUAGUCGAUGGGAAACAGGUUAAUAUUCCUGUACUUGGUGUUACUGCGAAGGGGGGACGGAGAAGGCUAUGUUAGCCGGGCGACGGUUGUCCCGGUUUAAGCAUGUAGGCUGGUUGUCCAGGCAAAUCCGGAUAAUCAAGGCUGAGGUGUGAUGACGAGGCACUACGGUGCUGAAGUAACAAAUGCCCUGCUUCCAGGAAAAGCCUCUAAGCAUCAGGUAACAUCAAAUCGUACCCCAAACCGACACAGGUGGUCAGGUAGAGAAUACCAAGGCGCUUGAGAGAACUCGGGUGAAGGAACUAGGCAAAAUGGUGCCGUAACUUCGGGAGAAGGCACGCUGGUGUGUAGGUGAAGUCCCUGCGGAUGGAGCUGAGACCAGUCGAAGAUACCAGCUGGCUGCAACUGUUUAUUAAAAACACAGCACUGUGCAAACACGAAAGUGGACGUAUACGGUGUGACGCCUGCCCGGUGCCGGAAGGUUAAUUGAUGGGGUUAUCCGUAAGGAGAAGCUCUUGAUCGAAGCCCCGGUAAACGGCGGCCGUAACUAUAACGGUCCUAAGGUAGCGAAAUUCCUUGUCGGGUAAGUUCCGACCUGCACGAAUGGCGUAAUGAUGGCCAGGCUGUCUCCACCCGAGACUCAGUGAAAUUGAACUCGCUGUGAAGAUGCAGUGUACCCGCGGCAAGACGGAAAGACCCCGUGAACCUUUACUAUAGCUUGACACUGAACAUUGAGCCUUGAUGUGUAGGAUAGGUGGGAGGCUUUGAAGCGUGGACGCCAGUCUGCGUGGAGCCAACCUUGAAAUACCACCCUUUAAUGUUUGAUGUUCUAACGUUGGCCCCUGACCGGGGUUGCGGACAGUGUCUGGUGGGUAGUUUGACUGGGGCGGUCUCCUCCCAAAGCGUAACGGAGGAGCACGAAGGUUAGCUAAUCCUGGUCGGACAUCAGGAGGUUAGUGCAAUGGCAUAAGCUAGCUUGACUGCGAGCGUGACGGCGCGAGCAGGUGCGAAAGCAGGUCAUAGUGAUCCGGUGGUUCUGAAUGGAAGGGCCAUCGCUCAACGGAUAAAAGGUACUCCGGGGAUAACAGGCUGAUACCGCCCAAGAGUUCAUAUCGACGGCGGUGUUUGGCACCUCGAUGUCGGCUCAUCACAUCCUGGGGCUGAAGUAGGUCCCAAGGGUAUGGCUGUUCGCCAUUUAAAGUGGUACGCGAGCUGGGUUUAGAACGUCGUGAGACAGUUCGGUCCCUAUCUGCCGUGGGCGCUGGAGAAUUGAGGGGGGCUGCUCCUAGUACGAGAGGACCGGAGUGGACGCAUCACUGGUGUUCGGGUUGUCAUGCCAAUGGCACUGCCCGGUAGCUAAAUGCGGAAGAGAUAAGUGCUGAAAGCAUCUAAGCACGAAACUUGCCCCGAGAUGAGUUCUCCCUGAGACUUUAAGUCUCCUGAAGGAACGUUAAAGACGAUGACGUUGAUAGGCCGGGUGUGUAAGCGCAGCGAUGCGUUGAGCUAACCGGUACUAAUGAACCGUGAGGCUUAACCUU